This 1931-nucleotide long non-coding RNA is filed under the name Olea europaea subsp. europaea. Lineage: Eukaryota; Viridiplantae; Streptophyta; Magnoliopsida; Lamiales; Oleaceae. The record is from RNAcentral.
UUAACCUUUCACGAGAUAAUUGUUUAUCCUUGCUAGAGUUUGGUUCUUUGUAGUUAUCACAUUGUUGUACCUCACUAUAAAUACUGCUGUAAUAAUCACUUCAAAAAUACAAGAACUCUAUUCCUUCACAUGGUAUCAGAGUCGGAAAUGACUACUCAAACAAACUCCUCCUCCUCCUCAUCCGCUCUCAAAAUUCUUCUUCUACAUCCGCUUUUACCUCCACUGCCAUUGCUCAUACUUUUGCUGUCAAACUCAAUUUCUCCAAUUACCUUUCUUGGAAAACUCAAUUUAUUCCGCUUCUAAACUAUCAAAAUCUGAUGCAUUUUGUUGAUGGCUCUACUCGACCUCCUCCAAAGGAAAUCAUAACUGAGACAAAUCCACCCGUGCAUUUUCCAAAUCUAGAGUAUCAUGACUGGUCUAAGAAGGAUCAGAUGUUAAUGUCUUGGCUUUUUUCAUCUCUAUCUGAAGAAGUGUUCUCUUAUGUUGUGGGGCCUGACUUCUUCAGCUCAAGUUUGGAAUGCUCUAGGAAAUGCUUUUGGGUCUAUUUCUCAAAAUAGACAACUUCAGCUACAUAUAGACCUUCAAGAGUUAAAGAAAAAUGAUCUCUCUGUUUCACAGUACUUAUAAAAAGUAAACCGCUUGCCGAUGAAUCAGGUGCCGUCGGAAGAUCGUUAUCUACAGCUGAGUUCAAUGCAAUCAUCUACAGAAAUAUUGGAAGUGAAUUUCACCCUAUUAUCACAGCCUUAAAUGUUAGGCCGGAACCUGUUCCUUUCCAUGAACACCAUGGCCAACUAGUUACUCAUGAAAUUUUGUUAAAAAGCAACUCUGAAAACCCAGUAAUCAAUCAUGUCAAUGAGCCACCACUCUUAUCCACACUGAGACCUCACAAUGUCCAUACAUCCUACAGGCAUAGUAAUCUCAAUAAUCGCCCAAUUAUCAGAAUAAGGGGCCUUGCCAGAUAUGCGGUCUUCAUAACCAUUCUGCUGAUAGAUGCAGAAAUCGUUACACUUCAAGAUCAAGGGAACUACAAUCAAUAUCAGAAACCGUUACGUCUUGCCGGUCCUCAGUUCUCAAAUCAAGCCAAUCUUGCUUAUUAAAAUGGAGCACCAUGUUCGGCUCAAUCUGAUACCACAGGCUCGACUCUUCCAUGGUUCUCGAAUACUGGUGCUACGCAUCAUGUUGUUCCUGACGUUUCCAAUCUCAACAUCAAUGCUGAUUAUCGAGGUGGUAAUCAACUCCAAGUUGCUGAUGGUCAAGGUUUAAAUAUUCAUCAUACGGGCUCUACUACAAUUUCCUCAAAUUCUAAACCUCUUUACCUUAAUAAUGUAUUGCAUGUUCCUCAAAUUACCAAACAAUUGCAAUCUGUUCAGUUUACCAGAGACAAUAAUUGUUUCUUUGAAUUUCACCCAUCUUAUUUUGUUGUUAAGGAUCAGGAACCCAAGAAGUACUACUCCGAGGACUGAGUUAACAUGGUCUCUACAAUUUACCAUCUCCAUCAAAGCUUCAAGCUCAUAUUGCACAGGCUUCCUUGGAAGAUUGGCAUGCAAGAUUAGGACAUUCUAAUAUGCAAACUAUAAAUAAAGUUGUUCAUCAAUUUCAUUUGCCUUGUUCUUUUUGUUCAAGUUUCUUGAAUUUCAAAUGUUCUUCAUGUUAUCAAGGGAAACUUAGUAAAUUUUCGUUUCCAUCUAUUGAGCAUUCUAGCACUAGUCCAUUAGACCUUAUUCAGUCGGAUAUAUGUGGUCUUUCUCCUCAUACCUCUAGUGACGGUUACAAAUGCUUUGUGUUGUUCAUAGAUGACUUUACUAGGUUUACUUGGUUUUAUCCAUUAAAGCAAAGAAGUGAUUUGUAUAACGUGUUUAUUUUGUUUCAAAAGCUUGUUGAAAAUCAAUUUAACAAAAAAAUAAAAGCUCUUCAAUCUGACUGGGGUGGGG